Molecule: ribosomal RNA, 253 nt
Filed under: uncultured bacterium
Lineage: Bacteria
Description: partial 16S ribosomal RNA
Rfam family: Bacterial small subunit ribosomal RNA
Source: RNAcentral
UACGAAGGGGGCUAGCGUUGUUCGCAAUUACUGGGCGUAAAGUGUGCGCAGGCGGCCGCGCAAGUCGAGUGUGAAAGCCCCGGGCUUAACUUGGGAAUUGCGCUCGAAACUACGUGGCUGGAGUGUGGCAGAGGAAGGUGGAAUUCCAGGUGUAGCGGUGAAAUGCGUAGAGAUCUGGAGGAACACCGAUGGCGAAGGCAGCCUUCUGGGCCAACACUGACGCUGAGGAGCGAAAGCCAGGGGAGCAAACGGG